CCAAGGUCACGCUCCCACUUGUGCCUCUGCCGAGGCCUGCCGCCCAUGCCUCGAAGUCUGAGGACACUGACCUGGACAUGAGGCAUACGAAGGAGAGACGGGAGGUGACGGACUUGCAAUUGGUUGUGGUGUCAUUGGCCUCUCUCUCCCAAAGGGGAGCGAGUAGGGACCGGACGUGCCGGAGGAGACCAGGGCCGCCAUGGAUGGAGCCAUCGAGGAGAUGAAGCUCUUCUAAUCCACCAUCCGGACACUGGGCUUGUUAGUGACCCUGGUUCACAGCUCGCAGUUUAUUGAAUAUAUAUGUAUUCAUCUUGCGGAAACGGGAAGACCGGAACCGCGAGCUGGCCUCCGAGAAUUUGGAGCUACGCAAACAGCUUGAGGCCCGGCGGUGCGCCAAUGAGAACUUGGAGCGCGCAUGUGCUCCCCCCGAGGAGGUGGCCCAGCUCCAGCAAGCUUGAAGGAUACCAACCGCCUGCGCGAUGAGGCGAAGGACGCCAUGCGUGCUGACGAGGAGGCCAGUGGUCUGAAGAAGGCCAUCCGUGGCUUAUUUUGACAAAGAUUACCCUAUUUAAGGGAAAUUCUUUCAUCUUAAUCAAAUUUAACCACAUAUGUGGUGGGUUUUAUUCCUUAUUGCACUUCCUACCAAGAUGGUCCCAUAUGCCACUCGAUUUUUUUCCCGUCCAGCCAGACAUGCUUACGUUUAGAUGCAUAUGAAUAUGACAUAUGUGGCUAUAAUUGUGUUCAAUACACAUAUUUCAAUAUGUGGUAUGUACACAUUUUUUCUUGCGGGUAAUAUGUGGUACAUAUACAAAAGGGAUAAAUGUGUGGAUC
Long non-coding RNA from Triticum urartu, 831 nucleotides. RefSeq lists it as uncharacterized. Lineage: Eukaryota; Viridiplantae; Streptophyta; Magnoliopsida; Poales; Poaceae. The record is from RefSeq and is a predicted model, not a curated record.